Long non-coding RNA from Salvia miltiorrhiza (redroot sage), 383 nucleotides. RefSeq lists it as uncharacterized. The transcript has 2 exons. Lineage: Eukaryota; Viridiplantae; Streptophyta; Magnoliopsida; Lamiales; Lamiaceae. The record is from RefSeq and is a predicted model, not a curated record.
CUGAAAUAGAAUCAUAUGAUGUUCCCCUUAAUAAUGCAGGAGGAAUACAUGGCAGAGCUAGAGAGAGUUAAAGUAUGGCUUACCCUUUUGAACUUGGCAGAGUAAUGAAUGAAGGUGGAAGAAUGUGGUGUUGUUUGGCUGGAGUUAACUAAGUGAGGAGGAGUUGUUGCUCUUCAAUUGGCUUGACAAAGUGUAGUGGUGGUGUUGUAUGAAUGGGGAGAAAAGCAUGGUGGAGCGAAAAAGAAAGUUUGUGUAAUGAUACUGAUGACUUUGUAUGUUAUUAUGAGUUGUGGACAUCAAUGUAUCAAUGUGAUUGGAAUAUUGUAUAUUGUUACUGGUAGUUGUAAAAAUAUGUUGUGUGCGUGUAAUACUGUUUUAUCGAA